CAAUAGCGUAUAUUUAAGUUGUUGCAGUUAAAAAGCUCGUAGUUGGAUUUCGGAUGGGAUUUGCCGGUCCGUCGUUACGAUGUGCACUGGCCAGUCCUAUCUUGUUGUCGGGGACUAGCUCCUUGGAUUCACUUCCUGGGACUAGGAGCUGACGAGGUUACUUUGAGUAAAUUAGAGUGUUCAAAGCAAGCCUACGCUCUGAAUACAUUAGCAUGGAAUAACACGAUAGGACUCUGGCUUAUCUUGUUGGUCUGUGAGACCAGAGUAAUGAUUAAGAGGGACAGUCGGGGACAUUCGUAUUUCAUUGUCAGAGGUGAAAUUCUUGGAUUUAUGAAAGACGAGCUUCUGCGAAAGCAUUUGUCAAGGAUGUUUUCAUUAA
This 379-nucleotide ribosomal RNA is filed under the name uncultured eukaryote. RNAcentral describes it as "partial 18S ribosomal RNA". It matches the Rfam family "Eukaryotic small subunit ribosomal RNA", at positions 592 to 976 of the family's 1831-position model. The record is from RNAcentral.